GCUUGAUAACGAAGUCUCUGCAGAGGCAGCCAGAGAAUCGGCCUGCGGCUGGAGUCAGGCGCAGCGAGUAUGACGCUAACACGGCCGGAAAGGGUUCGUCUGUGUCAGACCCCACCCCACACCUCAUCUCUCACUGCUGUCCUGAGAGCCAGCAUGCUCAGAACAGUUUCGAGGCCCCCAGGGCGCCUGCGUCGGCGCGGUCUCCACGUGGAGUUCCCUGGCGGCCGCUCUAGACCAUAACGGCUGCGUUGGAACCUCGCGAGAAGAAAUGAGGGUCACCACCGAGGAAACAUAGCCCAUCAGGCAGGUGCUGCCUCCGGAACUCUGAAGCCGGAAGAUCCGGAACUAAGGGCACCAACUGCAGGAUCACACCCCUCUGGCCUUGUGGUCAAGUCAGUGUAGGGCAUGGUCCGGUUUGGACCAUAAGUUCUUCUUGUUCGAGUUUCAGUUUUGUACGUUUCUCUUGUUUGUUCCCCAACACAGUGCUACAGGAGGGUUUUUUUUGGUUUUUUGUUUGUUUGUUUGUUUGUUUUGGGUUUUUUUGGCGCUGAGGAAACAGACUUUGAAAGAGUUAAUGGUAAGAACAAGGUCACAUAAGUGAAAAAUGCCACGAAAUCGUCUGUGGACAAGAGAGGAAACAAGAAUGUUGGGGGCGAUACAACAAGUAAUGACUGGCAUACUUCUUCACUGCCUGGGACUGCUCUGGAUGUAUUUGUCACUCACACAAACUACUGCAUUUGGAGCCACAUAUAUUCCUCUUGCAUUACUAACGGCAUAUCCAUUUUGGUCAUCCUUGCUUUUUAUCUUCACGGGAGCAUUUACAGUAUCAUUAGAAAAGAUACGUUCACCAUUCUUGAAAAGUGGCAAACUCCUUUCGGAAUAUCUGUUCAUAUUAACCAUCUUGGAGUUGUUUGUGGCAAGUAUAGUCAGCCACUGGGCAUCCCAAGCAAAAAAGAGAAGAAGAUAAAGAUGCAGUUCAUGGCAGAAGGAGAUCCUUUCUCUGCAUAUUAAAGAAACCAUCGGUGAGCUCAGUCAAGGAGGAAAGUUUAGUGGCAAAUGAAGAACUUCAUUCUGUUCAAGAGGCUUCUUGGAAAAUGUAAUUUCAUUAAAUCCAUCUCAGUAUUCUCUUCCCCC
Molecule: long non-coding RNA, 1134 nt
Filed under: Pan troglodytes (chimpanzee)
Lineage: Eukaryota; Metazoa; Chordata; Mammalia; Primates; Hominidae
Description: long non-coding RNA NONPTRT002644
Source: RNAcentral